GAUGAAGAACGUAGCGAAAUGCGAUAAGUAAUGUGAAUUGCAGAAUUCAGUGAAUCAUCGAAUCUUUGAACGCAUCUUGCGCUCCUUGGUAUUCCUUGGAGCAUGCCUGUUUGAGUAUCAUGAGCAAAUCUCAAAGUCAAUUCCUUUUGUUAAUUCAAUUGGUUUUGCUUUGGAGUUGGAGGUCUUGCAGAUUUUCACAGUCUGCUCCUCUUAAAUGCAUUAGCUGGAUCUCAGUAAUUAUGCUUGGUUCCACUCGGCGUGAUAAGUAUCACUCGCUGAGGACACUGUUAAAAAGGUGGCCAGGAAAAUACUGAUUGAACCGCUUCUAACGGUCUAUUAAGUUAGACAAUUACCCUUAAGUUUGAUCUCAAAUCAGGUAGGACUACCCGCUGAACUUAAGCAUAUCAAUAAGCGGAGGA
RNAcentral lists this unclassified non-coding RNA (419 nucleotides) under soil metagenome. RNAcentral's name for it is "partial contains 5.8S ribosomal RNA, internal transcribed spacer 2, and large subunit ribosomal RNA". The stretch from base 1 to 120 matches the Rfam family "5.8S ribosomal RNA", at positions 35 to 154 of the family's 154-position model. The record is from RNAcentral.